ACUAUCAUUAACUGAAUCCAUAGGUUAAUGAGGCGAACCGGGGGAACUGAAACAUCUAAGUACCCCGAGGAAAAGAAAUCAACCGAGAUUCCCCCAGUAGCGGCGAGCGAACGGGGAGGAGCCCAGAGCCUGAAUCAGCAUGUGUGUUAGUGGAAGCGUCUGGAAAGGCGCGCGAUACAGGGUGACAGCCCCGUACACAAAAGCGCAUGUGCUGUGAGCUCGAUGAGUAGGGCGGGACACGUGGUAUCCUGUCUGAAUAUGGGGGGACCAUCCUCCAAGGCUAAAUACUCCUGACUGACCGAUAGUGAACCAGUACCGUGAGGGAAAGGCGAAAAGAACCCCGGCGAGG
This 349-nucleotide ribosomal RNA is filed under the name Salmonella enterica. RNAcentral's name for it is "partial 23S ribosomal RNA". It matches the Rfam family "Bacterial large subunit ribosomal RNA", at positions 147 to 534 of the family's 2925-position model. The record is from RNAcentral. Lineage: Bacteria; Pseudomonadati; Pseudomonadota; Gammaproteobacteria; Enterobacterales; Enterobacteriaceae. RNAcentral also lists the same sequence under 1 other name.